UACAGAGACUGCGAGCGUUAUUCGGAUUCACUGGGCGUAAAGGGUGCGCAGGUGGCCAAGUGUGUUAGGCGUGAAAGCCCGGGGCUUAACCCCGGAAUUGCACCUAAAACUACUUGGCUAGAGCAUUGGAGAGGGGAGCAGAAUUCAUGGUGUAGCAGUGAAAUGCGUAGAUAUCAUGAGGAAUACCAGAGGCGAAGGCGGCUCCCUGGACAAUUGCUGACACUCAGGCACGAAAGCGUGGGGAGCAAAAGGG
This 253-nucleotide ribosomal RNA is filed under the name uncultured bacterium. Its description in RNAcentral is "partial 16S ribosomal RNA". It matches the Rfam family "Bacterial small subunit ribosomal RNA", at positions 524 to 776 of the family's 1533-position model. The record is from RNAcentral.